This is a regulatory RNA element of Rhodoferax antarcticus ANT.BR, 110 nucleotides long. It matches the Rfam family "TPP riboswitch aptamer (THI element)". From Rfam's summary of the family: Vitamin B(1) in its active form thiamin pyrophosphate (TPP) is an essential coenzyme that is synthesised by coupling of pyrimidine and thiazole moieties in bacteria. The previously detected thiamin-regulatory element, thi box was extended, resulting in a new, highly conserved RNA secondary structure, the THI element, which is widely distributed in eubacteria and also occurs in some archaea. Analysis of operon structures identified a large number of new candidate thiamin-regulated genes, mostly transporters, in various prokaryotic organisms. The record is from Rfam. NCBI's taxonomy places the organism in Bacteria, Pseudomonadati, Pseudomonadota, Betaproteobacteria, Burkholderiales, Comamonadaceae.
UCUGGCUUGUCGGGGCGCCCAAGACGAAAGUCGGGGCUGAGACCACUUCUGUGGAACCCGCUGAACCUGAUCGGGGUCAUGCCCGCGUAGGGAACAACGCAAUUGGCACC